Molecule: ribosomal RNA, 445 nt
Filed under: uncultured bacterium
Lineage: Bacteria
Description: partial 16S ribosomal RNA
Rfam family: Bacterial small subunit ribosomal RNA
Source: RNAcentral
GUAAGGAAUAUUGGACAAUGGACGCAAGUCUGAUCCAGCCAUGCCGCGUGAAGGAUUAAGGUCCUCUGGAUUGUAAACUUCUUUUAUAAGGGACGAAAAAAGGCUUUUCUAAGUCGUCUGACGGUACCUUAUGAAUAAGCACCGGCUAACUCCGUGCCAGCAGCUGCGGUAAUACGGAGGGUGCAAGCGUUAUCCGGAUUCACUGGGUUUAAAGGGUGCGUAGGCGGGCAGGUAAGUCAGUGGUGAAAUCCUAGAGCUUAACUCUAGAACUGCCAUUGAUACUAUCUGUCUUGAAUAUUGUGGAGGUAAGCGGAAUAUGUCAUGUAGCGGUGAAAUGCUUAGAUAUGACAUAGAACACCUAUUGCGAAGGCAGCUUACUACGCAUAUAUUGACGCUGAGGCACGAAAGCGUGGGGAUCAAACAGGAUUAGAAACCCCAGUAGUCC